This 363-nucleotide ribosomal RNA is filed under the name Triticum aestivum (bread wheat). RNAcentral describes it as "partial small subunit ribosomal RNA". Lineage: Eukaryota; Viridiplantae; Streptophyta; Magnoliopsida; Poales; Poaceae. The record is from RNAcentral.
AUGGCCACACAUCACCUCACUGCGCUCCCUCUUCCGGCGUGGGCCAACCAUAAGCUUAGCAAGAUCUCUCGCAACUUCAUAUGGCAAGGCGACAAUUCGGAGAAUGCGACCGGAGGGCACUCCCUGGUAAACUGGAAGACGGUGUGCAGGCCAAAGGCCCUAGGUGGGCUGGGAAUCACAGACCUAGGGAGAUUUGGUCGGGCUCUCCGCUUACGCUGGCCAUGGCUAAUGUGGACCGACCCUGACCGUCAGUGGGUGGGCUCUGCCCUACCCUGCGACGACUCGGAUAUGGCGCUAUUCAGAGCUUCGACCUCCAUCGUGCUGGGUAACGGCCACAAAGCUCUAUUCUGGCAUGAUGACUGG